This is a long non-coding RNA of Cyprinus carpio carpio, 2974 nucleotides long. The record is from Ensembl. Lineage: Eukaryota; Metazoa; Chordata; Actinopteri; Cypriniformes; Cyprinidae.
AAAUAAAAUAAAAAUAAUAAUAAUAAUAAAAAAGAAAAAUUGAAAAAAGAAAAAGACCUUUCCAUAUUUACUUCUCUCCCUUUAAUAUACAACACACAGUAAAAUAUACAUUACAAAGAAGCAUUGAUAUUAUUGACAUUGAACAAAGUAUAAAAGAUUUUAAGGCUUUGGCAUUAUUGAAGAUCUAAGUUACAUUUCAGGUCUUUACAACAAAAAAUAAUAAAAAGAAGUUUCACAGAAAAAAAAAAAAGUUUAAAAAUUGUCCAGAAAAAUAAAUCGAUUUAUUAGGAAAUAUUUGUCUUCUAUAAAAACCAAAUAACACAUCUUUAAACACCAAAGAAAAAAAAAACACAAAUAAGUAACUCACAGCUACAACAGACAUUAACAACAACACAAAAAUGAUGAAGAACCAGGAAAAUGGUUACACAAAAGAGGUUAUGUGCAUUUCUUCACUCAUACACAUUCUCAAUGGUAACUGAAAAUAAAUAAAGUGAAUAGUGAUUAAUAAUAAGCUCGGGAGGAGACGGUAAAGGGGGCUGUAAGAGGCCACUAAAAAUCUACAAUUUUUAUCAUUUAGAAACAUAAAUAUAUUUGUAUAAAGUCUUAUAUAAGAAAUAAUAUUAAAAAAACUCCCAUCUAUCUAUAUUUUGUGCUCUCCGUCCAAUUCAGUACAUAACUGAACUCACACAAUGAAACAUAACUCUGUGGUCCCAAUAUGACAGUUUUCAUAUUUUGUACUUGUGCAUUAAAGGGGUCAUAUGAUGCUGCUAAAAAGAACAUUAUUUUGUGUAUUUGGUGUGUGGAAUUACAAAUAUUUAAAAUCUUAAAUCUAGGUUCCAAUGUAAUAGUUUAUAAACUAAAAAAGUUAUGUACAUUGUGUUUUACAUUUUGAGGUAAAAAAAGGAUCAAAUCAGGAAGCCCAGGUGUCUGAGAUAAUGAUCUUUUGUCUUUGUGCUCUUCCUUGCCAUUUGGCUUUUUAAGACUGAUUGGAUUAGCACCUAUGCAUUUGAAGGACACUGUUAUGCUGAUGAGAUCAGCGAUGGGGAAACUCCUGUAACAGGAGUUUCCUGUACUGCAUUUGCAUGCUUUGCUUAGAUGGUCUCCACCUCUAUGUAUGCCUCCCCCUUGAAAUGUAUAUAAACCACAAUGUAUCAAUGACUAGUUAGACUUUUGAUGACUUCAGCGCCAUCCAGCGCGUUCUCAAUAAAGAAUUCUGCUGAAGAUUACCCAAGAGUCUCCUGGUCUUCACUUUUGAGUUUCCAACAGGUGUAAUGAAAUGUGUUUAUGCGGUUUAAGGUUUAAAAAAACACAUUAUUUUCCACAUACUGUACAUUAUUGUUUCUCCUCUAUGCCCCGCCUUCUGAAACGUGUCGAUUUUCACAAAGCUUAUCACUCUGAAAAGCGAGGUGUGCUGUGAUUGGCCAGCUAUCCAGUGCGUUGUUAUUGGCCGAAUGCCUCAAGGAUGUGACGGAAAUGCUACACCCCUCACCAUACUGUGAUGCCCUGUCCGGCCGGAGCGAAGAGACGUAAACAUAAAACCCAUUAUAAACGUGAUAUAAACAUGAUUUCUAGUCGUGUUUACUUUUGGAAGGCCAAACAAAGUAGUUUUGCUUUCUCAACGAAACAACGUCACACACUGCAGCCUUGAGUGAGUGAAGACUGGAGGCCUAGAGUGAGCGGAGGCUGGAGGUCUAGAGUGAGCGGAGGUCAGAGGUCUAGAGUGAGCCGCGGUCUAGCGUGAGCGGAGGCUGCAGGUCUAGAGUGAGCCGUGGUCUAGAGUGAGCGGAGGCUGGAGGUCUAGAGUGAGCAGCGGUCUAGAGUGAGCGCAGGCUGGAGGUCUAGAGUGAGCCGCGGUCUAGAGUGAGCGGAGGCUGCAGGUCUAGAGUGAGCGGAGGCUGGAGGUCUAGAGUGAGCCGCGGUCUAGAGUGAGCGGAGGCUGGAGGUCUAGAGUGAGCCGCGGUCUAGAGUGAGCGGAGGCUGGAGGUCUAGAGUGAGCCGCGGUCUAGAGUGAGCGGAGGCUGGAGGUCUAGAGUGAGCCGCGGUCUAGAGUGAGCGGAGGCUGGAGGUCUAGAGUGAGCCGCGGCUGGAGGUCUAGAGUGAGCGGAGGCUGCAGGUCUAGAGUGAGCAGAGGCUGGUGGCUUGAGAACGGUGCGGCAGGCAGAUUCUACGAAGGAGCGUACCUUGGUCUUGCAGCAACCACAUGUGAUGACCCUGGGCUGGACGCCGCUUCGUACAUGGUGAAAGCUGAUCCUGCGAUCCACAGUGCAAAGUUGAUGUAUAUCCUCAGCGACCAGCACGGAUCAGCUCCAGGCAUAACGAAGCGGAUAUCGUCCUCUUUUGGAAGUAGUUUUGCUUUCACAUGAAACACACAGCGUCUAUACGACAUGGCGGCGGCGGCGGCAACAACAAUACUACAACGAGAAUAAAAGCUACACCUUCUUUCUUUGUGUGAACAUCUAGGCCCGUGUUAUGCAAAUCUUCACACAUACUGACGUAGAGAUGUGGGGCGUGUUAGAACAAGCCGUUUCAGGGGGGCGUGGACGAGUGUUAACUUUUAAAAGAAUAUCUCUUUGGGUUUGAGACUUUAGUCUUUGCAGCUUUACAGAUCUUCUUUAUGCACCAAGAGCUUGUAACACUCCAAAGAGAAAGGAAAAUUUGAAAUCGCAUCAUGUGACCUCUUUAAACAGGCAGCUUCCAGUAACAUGAAUGACACUCUAACAAUCAUGUUCAUGUGUUUAAAUGGAGUCAGUGUUUUAAUUAUUAGGAUGACUGUAAUCGUUCAAUCUCAGGUUUUUACAGUUCAUAGGUCACUUCUCCAGAAUAAAAAGGACAAGUUGAAUGCUUUUGGUCACUCUCCUGUACGGGCUUGCUAUCUGUAGUUUCCACUGUGGGUGAUGCCUUCUUCUUACAGCAGAAAAGAAGAAGACGAAAGCAAAUGAAGAGUGAGAAACAAAUAAAGAGUGAGAAAGAUGAG